Vicia faba (fava bean) is the source of this 228-nucleotide non-coding RNA. The record is from the annotation of a GenBank genome assembly. Lineage: Eukaryota; Viridiplantae; Streptophyta; Magnoliopsida; Fabales; Fabaceae.
AUGAGCGAUAGAAAAAAAAUGGGAAAGGCAAAAGAAGUGGUUGUGGUGGCGGGUGCCCUAGCAUUUGUUUGGCUCACUAUUGAACUCGCUUUCAAGCCCUUCCUUUCUCAGACCCGCGGCUCCAUCGACAAAUCCGAUCCGACCCUGGACCCUGAUGAUGUUCCUGACGCUGCCGCCGCUCCUCCUCCUUCUGAAACUGACGCCGAAGAUGCCGACAAAGACGACUGA